Molecule: ribosomal RNA, 492 nt
Filed under: uncultured bacterium
Lineage: Bacteria
Description: partial 16S ribosomal RNA
Rfam family: Bacterial small subunit ribosomal RNA
Source: RNAcentral
GAUGAACGCUAGCGGCAGGCUUAACACAUGCAAGUCGAGGGGAAACGGCAUCGAAAGCUUGCUUUUGAGUGGGGUCGACCGGCGCGCGGGUGAGUAACGCGUAUCCAACCUGCCCAUCACUUGGGACUAACCUUGCGAAAGUAAGACUAAUUCACAAUUACAUCCCCAGGAGGCAUCCGAAUGGGAUUAAAGAUUUAUCGGUGAUGGAUGGGGAUGCGUCUGAUUAGCUUGUUGGCGGGGUGACGGCCCACCAAGGCAACGAUCAGUAGGGGUUCUGAGAGGAAGCCACCCCACAGUGGAACCACGACACGGUCCACACUCCGACGGGAGGCAGCAGUGAGGAAUACUGUGCAAUGGGCGAGAGCCUGAAACCGCCAAGUAGCGUGCAGGAUGCCGGCCCUAGUGGUUGUAAACUGCUUUUAUAAGGGAAAAAAGUGGGUCACGUGUGACUUUUUGAAUGUACCUUAUGAAUAAGCACCGGCUAACUACGUG